This 115-nucleotide non-coding RNA is filed under the name Nicotiana attenuata. The record is from RNAcentral. Lineage: Eukaryota; Viridiplantae; Streptophyta; Magnoliopsida; Solanales; Solanaceae.
GUUUUGUAGCCAAGGAGAGAUGGUUGGCAUUUCCCUGGUAGGAACGGAAAGAGCCAUCAGUCUUUCUGGCAGAAGAAUCAUAUAUGAAGAACUUGAUCUUUGUUUAUGUAUUUUG